Callithrix jacchus (white-tufted-ear marmoset) is the source of this 728-nucleotide non-coding RNA. The record is from RefSeq and is a predicted model, not a curated record. NCBI's taxonomy places the organism in Eukaryota, Metazoa, Chordata, Mammalia, Primates, Cebidae.
CCCCUACUAAUUGACAUGCCUGUCGCCUCCUUCUCCUGGUGUCCAUUUCUGGAACUGCUAUUUGUAUAUUGCAUGAUAUAUCAAGAAAAAAAAAACAGAUCUAAUUUCAUGAAAAUGCUGUUGCCAUAAUGCUCAGGAGAACAGGGGGAAGAGAGAGAGUCAAGUCUUCCUAAUGUCUACCUUGUAUGCAGGAAAAAGGCAGACAUUAACAGAACAGGGAGCUCACAGAGUCAGCACUCCCGGGGACAAGACAGCCAGAUUUUCCUUAAAAGGUGACCCCAGGGCUGAAAACCACAGGAGAAGUAGAAUUUUUCUCAACAACAACAUCUUGAGGUCAUAAUGGUCUGAUCCACGGUGCUAAGGAUCUGAAGUGUGAAGUGAGACCUGGUAUACUAUCAAAUGUCUCCAUGCCCCUGUCUCCUCGAAGGGAAAACUCACUUCACCAGAUUAUAAGGAACACCAAAUCAUUGUGAAGCCCUCUGUCAAGUUGAGAUUUGCAUCAUUCUUUGAACUGCCCAGGCUCAGCCCCUGUGAUGUUUUAUGAACUUGGCUCUCUGUAAAUUAAGAUUUACCGAGACAUAUUGCAGGAAUGUUUUAAAAUAUUACUCAUUUUAGUAGCAUUUAUAAUUAUGGCUGCUAGAUCUUUCUUGGCAUUCAUUGUGUUAAACCUCAAUGGCUCUACCAAGUAAUGGAUUUUGGAGAUGGCCAGUAAAACUCAUCCAAUACCU